CCUACGGGGAGCAGCAGUAGGGAAUCUUCCACAAUGGGCGCAAGCCUGAUGGAGCAACACCGCGUGAGUGAAGAAGGGUUUCGGCUCGUAAAGCUCUGUUGUUGGAGAAGAACGUGCGUGAGAGUAACUGUUCACGCAGUGACGGUAUCCAACCAGAAAGUCACGGCUAACUACGUGCCAGCAGCCGCGGUAAUACGUAGGUGGCAAGCGUUAUCCGGAUUUAUUGGGCGUAAAGCGAGCGCAGGCGGUUGCUUAGGUCUGAUGUGAAAGCCUUCGGCUUAACCGAAGAAGUGCAUCGGAAACCGGGCAACUUGAGUGCAGAAGAGGACAGUGGAACUCCAUGUGUAGCGGUGGAAUGCGUAGAUAUAUGGAAGAACACCAGUGGCGAAGGCGGCUGUCUGGUCUGCAACUGACGCUGAGGCUCGAAAGCAUGGGUAGCGAACAGGAUUAGAUACCCGGGUAGUC
RNAcentral lists this ribosomal RNA (465 nucleotides) under uncultured bacterium. Its description in RNAcentral is "partial 16S ribosomal RNA". It matches the Rfam family "Bacterial small subunit ribosomal RNA", at positions 338 to 795 of the family's 1533-position model. The record is from RNAcentral.